GACGAACGCUGGCGGCGUGCUUAACACAUGCAAGUCGAACGAUGAAGCCUAGCUUGCUAGGUGGAUUAGUGGCGAACGGGUGAGUAAUACGUGAGUAACCUACCUUUAACUCUGGGAUAAGCCCGGGAAACUGGGUCUAAUACCGGAUACGACCAAUCUCCGCAUGGGUUGUUGGUGGACAGCGUUAUGUAGUGGUUAUAGAUGGGCUCACGGCCUAUCAGCUUGUUGGUGAGGUAACGGCUCACCAAGGCGACGACGGGUAGCCGGCCUGAGAGGGUGACCGGCCACACUGGGACUGAGACACGGCCCAGACUCCUACGGGAGGCAGCAGUGGGGAAUAUUGCACAAUGGGCGCAAGCCUGAUGCAGCGACGCCGCGUGAGGGAUGACGGCCUUCGGGUUGUAAACCUCUGUUAGCAGGGAAGAAGAGAGAUUGACGGUACCUGCAGAGAAAGCGCCGGCUAACUACGUG
This 471-nucleotide ribosomal RNA is filed under the name uncultured bacterium. RNAcentral's name for it is "partial 16S ribosomal RNA". It matches the Rfam family "Bacterial small subunit ribosomal RNA", at positions 28 to 507 of the family's 1533-position model. The record is from RNAcentral.